Molecule: ribosomal RNA, 253 nt
Filed under: uncultured bacterium
Lineage: Bacteria
Description: partial 16S ribosomal RNA
Rfam family: Bacterial small subunit ribosomal RNA
Source: RNAcentral
UACGUAGGGUGCAAGCGUUAAUCGGAAUUACUGGGCGUAAAGCGUGCGCAGGCGGCUUUGCAAGACAGAUGUGAAAUCCCCGGGCUCAACCUGGGAACUGCAUUUGUGACUGCAUAGCUAGGGUGCGGAAGAAGGAAGCGGAAUUUCCGGUGUAGCGGUGAAAUGCGUGGAUAUCGGAAGGAACAUCAGUGGCGAAAGCGGCUUCCUGGUCCAGCACCGACGUUCAGGCACGAAAGCGUGGGGAGCAAACAGG